This 608-nucleotide ribosomal RNA is filed under the name Schiedea viscosa. Its description in RNAcentral is "eukaryotic LSU rRNA". The stretch from base 242 to 396 matches the Rfam family "5.8S ribosomal RNA". The record is from RNAcentral. Lineage: Eukaryota; Viridiplantae; Streptophyta; Magnoliopsida; Caryophyllales; Caryophyllaceae.
CGAAACCUGCUCGGCAGAACGACCGGCGAACUUGUUCAUCACUCACGGGGGCAGUGGUGGUGUUGGUGCCUUGUGCCCCUGCAUGCCUCUCUCCUGGGCCGGGCAGCCUCCCACCUGUGGGUUGUUACCUUGGCGCAUCAACGAACCCGGACGCGAAAAGCGUCAAGGAACAUAAAUCAGUGCUCUUGUCCUGCGCUCGGUAAGCCGGCGGACGGGCGUGGUGACAUGUAAUAAAACAAACGACUCUCGGCAACGGAUAUCUCGGCUCUCGCAUCGAUGAAGAACGUAGCGAAAUGCGAUACUUGGUGUGAAUUGCAGAAUCCCGUGAACCAUCGAGUCUUUGAACGCAAGUUGCGCCCGAGGCCUUUGGCUAAGGGCACGUCUGCCUGGGCGUCACGCAUCGCAUCUCCCCCACAACAACCGUGAGUGGGGGUAGGAGGAUGGCUUCCCGUGCCUCGCCGGGUGCGGUUGGGCUAAAUUUGGAGCCAAAGGCAUCGUCCUUUUGCGGCGAUAGGUGGUGAACAAGGCUUCGGCCGUGCAAGCAACCCGCCGUGUGGGACUUUGCCAUGGGAGGACCCUUUGAUGUUGCCUAGUUGCAACUCCUAUAG